GACAGAGGUCCCAAGCGUUAGGCGGAAUCACUGGGCGUAAAGCGCGUGUAGGCGGCCCUGCAAGUCGGAUGUGAAAUCCCACGGCUCAACCGUGGAAGUGCAUUCGAAACUGCAGGGCUAGAGUCCUGGAGAGGAAGGUGGAAUGCUUGGUGUAGAGGUGAAAUUCGUAGAUAUCAAGCGGAACACCGGUGGCGAAGGCGGCCUUCUGGACAGUGACUGACGCUGAGACGCGAAAGCGUGGGGAGCAAACAGG
Molecule: ribosomal RNA, 253 nt
Filed under: uncultured bacterium
Lineage: Bacteria
Description: partial 16S ribosomal RNA
Rfam family: Bacterial small subunit ribosomal RNA
Source: RNAcentral